GAUGAACGCUGGCGGCGUGCCUAAUAUAUGCAAGUCGAGCGAACGGACGAGAAGCUUGCUUCUCUGAUGUUAGCGGCGGACGGGUGAGUAACACGUGGAUAACCUACCUAUAAGACUGGGAUAACUUCGGGAAACCGUAGCUAAUACCGGAUAAUAUUUUGAACCGCAUGGUUCAAAAGUGAAAGACGGUCUUGCUGUCACUUAUAGAUGGAUCCGCGCUGCAUUAGCUAGUUGGUAAGGUAACGGCUUACCAAGGCAACGAUGCAUAGCCGACCUGAGAGGGUGAUCGGCCACACUGGAACUGAGACACGGUCCAGACUCCUACGGGAGGCAGCAGUAGGGAAUCUUCCGCAAUGGGCGAAAGCCUGACGGAGCAACGCCGCGUGAGUGAUGAAGGUCUUCGGAUCGUAAAACUCUGUUAUUAGGGAAGAACAUAUGUGUAAGUAACUGUGCACAUCUUGACGGUACCUAAUCAGAAAGCCACGGCUAACUACGUG
Molecule: ribosomal RNA, 497 nt
Filed under: uncultured bacterium
Lineage: Bacteria
Description: partial 16S ribosomal RNA
Rfam family: Bacterial small subunit ribosomal RNA
Source: RNAcentral